ACAGGAGCUGAUGGACAACGCUCUGUUGACGGCGGAGCUCCUGUCCAAUCAGAGCGAGGCUGAGCUGCAGCGGCGUUUGGCCGAACGUCAGGAGGAGAUCAGCCACAUGCAGGAGAUCCUGGAAACCAAAGUCCAACUGCUGCAGGAGGAGGCGGAGCUUGCCCGGGCCGAUGCCCAGCGGAUGGCGUCUCUGGCGGAUUCG
Molecule: long non-coding RNA, 202 nt
Organism: Sphaeramia orbicularis (orbiculate cardinalfish)
Lineage: Eukaryota; Metazoa; Chordata; Actinopteri; Kurtiformes; Apogonidae
Exons: 3
Source: RefSeq, a predicted model, not a curated record